CCCUGCUGGUUUUAACUCACACUGGGUUGGGGGCCAUGAGCCAAGGACUGUAAAGAGCGGGAUCGUGAUGUGAAAUGGUGCCUGGUCUGCUGGGGCCAGCACAGGAACGGAAACGUGGAAACGCGGGUCUCCAGCCAUCUAGCUUCCGCAGGCCCCGUGUUCUUCCCUUCA
Molecule: long non-coding RNA, 171 nt
Filed under: Pongo abelii (Sumatran orangutan)
Lineage: Eukaryota; Metazoa; Chordata; Mammalia; Primates; Hominidae
Description: lincRNA
Source: RNAcentral